Molecule: ribosomal RNA, 397 nt
Filed under: uncultured Glomeromycotina
Lineage: Eukaryota; Fungi; Glomeromycota
Description: SSU rRNA
Rfam family: Eukaryotic small subunit ribosomal RNA
Source: RNAcentral
AGCAGCCGCGGUAAAUUCCAGCUCCAAUAGCGUAUAUUAAAGUUGUUGCAGUUAAAAAGCUCGUAGUUGAAUUUCGGGGUUAGCAGGUCGGUCGUGCCAAUGGUAUGCACUGGCUCGCUGACUCCUCCUUCUUGUAGAACCGUAAUGCCAUUAAUUUGGUGUUGCGGGGAAACAGGACUGUUACUUUGAAAAAAUUAGAGUGUUUAAAGCAGGCUAGCGCCUGAAUACAUUAGCAUGGAAUAAUGAAAUAGGACGUUCGAACCUAUUUUGUUGGUUUCUAGGAUUGACGUAAUGAUUAAUAGGGAUAGUUGGGGGCAUUAGUAUUCAAUUGUCAGAGGUGAAAUUCUUGGAUUUAUUGAAGACUGACUACUGCGAAAGCAUUUGCCAAGGAUGUUUU